GAUGAACGCUGGCGGCGUGCUUAACACAUGCAAGUCGAACGGAAAGGCCCAAGCUUGCUUGGGUACUCGAGUGGCGAACGGGUGAGUAACACGUGGGUGAUCUGCCCUGCACUUCGGGAUAAGCCUGGGAAACUGGGUCUAAUACCGGAUAGGACCACUUCUUGGAUGUUGUGGUGGAAAGUUUUUUCGGUGUGGUAUGAGCUCGCGGCCUAUCAGCUUGUUGGUGGGGUAAUGGCCUACCAAGGCGUCGACGGGUAGCCGGCCUGAGAGGGUGUACGGCCACAUUGGGACUGAGAUACGGCCCAGACUCCUACGGGAGGCAGCAGUGGGGAAUAUUGCACAAUGGGCGCAAGCCUGAUGCAGCGACGCCGCGUGGGGGAUGACGGCCUUCGGGUUGUAAACUCCUUUCGCUAGGGACGAAGCGUUUUGUGACGGUACCUGGAGAAGAAGCACCGGCUAACUACGUG
Molecule: ribosomal RNA, 467 nt
Filed under: uncultured bacterium
Lineage: Bacteria
Description: partial 16S ribosomal RNA
Rfam family: Bacterial small subunit ribosomal RNA
Source: RNAcentral